ACAUCCAAGGAAGGCAGCAGGCGCGCAAAUUACCCAAUGGCGACACGCCGAGGUAGUGACAAUAAAUAACAAUAUAGGGCUCUUUUGGGUCUUAUAAUUGGAAUGAGUACAAUUUAAAUCCCUUAACGAGGAACAAUUGGAGGGCAAGUCUGGUGCCAGCAGCCGCGGUAAUUCCAGCUCCAAUAGCGUAUAUUAAAGUUGUUGCAGUUAAAAAGCUCGUAGUCGAAAUUCAGAUCCGGCCGGGUGGUCCGCCUCACGGUGUGUACUGUCUGGCUGGGCCUUACCUCUUGGUGAGCCGGCAUGCCCUUCACUGGGUGUGUUGGGGAACCAGGACUUUUACUUUGAGAAAAUUAGAGUGUUCAAAGCAGGCCUACGCCCGAAUACAUUAGCAUGGAAUAAUAGAAUAGGACGUGCGGUUCUAUUUUGUUGGUUUCUAGAGUCGCCGUAAUGAUCAAAUAGGGACAGUUGGGGGCAUUCGUAUUCGGUUGCUAGAGGUGAAAUUCUUGGAUUUACCGAAGACGAACUUCUGCGAAAGCAUUUGCCAAGGAUGUUUUCAUUGAUCAAGAACGAAGGUUAGGGGAUCGAAAACGAUCAGAUACCGUUGUAGUCUUAACAGUAAACUAUGCCGACUAGGGAUCGGGCGAUCUCACUAUCAUGUGUCGCUCGGCACCU
RNAcentral lists this ribosomal RNA (672 nucleotides) under uncultured fungus. Its description in RNAcentral is "SSU rRNA". It matches the Rfam family "Eukaryotic small subunit ribosomal RNA", at positions 412 to 1088 of the family's 1831-position model. Lineage: Eukaryota; Fungi. The record is from RNAcentral.